AGAGUUUGAUCCUGGCUCAGGAUGAACGCCGGCGGUGUGCCUAAUACAUACAAGUCGUACGCACUGGCCCAACUGAUUGAUGGUGCUUGCACCUGAUUGACGAUGGAUCACCAGUGAGUGGCGGACGGGUGAGUAACACGUAGGUAACCUGCCCCGGAGCGGGGGAUAACAUUUGGAAACAGAUGCUAAUACCGCAUAACAACAAAAGCCACAUGGCUUUUGUUUGAAAGAUGGCCUUGGCUAUCACUCUGGGAUGGACCUGCGGUGCAUUAGCUAGUUGGUAAGGUAACGGCUUACCAAGGCGAUGAUGCAUAGCCGAGUUGAGAGACUGAUCGGCCACAAUGGAACUGAGACACGGUCCAUACUCCUACGGGAGGCAGCAGUAGGGAAUCUUCCGCAAUGGGCGCAUGCCUGAUGGAGCAACACCGCGUGAGUGAAGAAGGGUUUCGGCUCAUAAAGCUCUGUUGUUGGAGAAGAACGUGCGUGAGAGUAACUGUUCACGCAGUGACGGUAUCCAACCAGAAAGUCACGGCUAACUACGUGCCAGCAGCCGCGGU
RNAcentral lists this ribosomal RNA (557 nucleotides) under uncultured bacterium. Its description in RNAcentral is "bacterial SSU rRNA". It matches the Rfam family "Bacterial small subunit ribosomal RNA", at positions 8 to 521 of the family's 1533-position model. The record is from RNAcentral.